AUUGAACGCUGGCGGCAGGCUUAACACAUGCAAGUCGAGCGAGCGGCGGACGGGUGAGUAAUGUCUGGGAAACUGCCUGAUGGCGGGGGAUAACUACUGGAAACGGUAGCUAAUACCGCAUACCAUCAUAUGUGCCCAGCUGGGAUUAGCUAGUCGGUGGGGUAAUGGCUCACCUAGGCGACGAUCCCUAGCUGGUCUGCGAGGAUGACCAGCCACACUGGAAGUGAGACACGGUCCAGACGCAGACGUGAGGCAGCAGGGGGGAAUAUUGCACAAGGGGCGAAAGCCUGAUGUAGCAAGGCCGAGUGUGUGAAGAAGGCCUGCGGGUGGUAAAGAACUUUCAGAGAGGAGGCGUUACUCGCAGAAGAAGCACCGGCUAACUCCGUGCCAGCAGCCGCGGUAAUUC
This 406-nucleotide ribosomal RNA is filed under the name uncultured bacterium. Its description in RNAcentral is "partial 16S ribosomal RNA". It matches the Rfam family "Bacterial small subunit ribosomal RNA", at positions 29 to 526 of the family's 1533-position model. The record is from RNAcentral.